This is a long non-coding RNA of Pseudophryne corroboree (corroboree frog), 2950 nucleotides long. RefSeq lists it as uncharacterized. The transcript is spliced from 4 exons. Lineage: Eukaryota; Metazoa; Chordata; Amphibia; Anura; Myobatrachidae. The record is from RefSeq and is a predicted model, not a curated record.
GGCCUAGUUUCCAGCUACACAGUCAGUAGAGCCCAUCACUGUUAUGCUCUGUCAGAUGCCUGUCAGCCAGCACCAUCGGAAGCAGUGGGAUCCCCACAGGAGGCUGGUAUUACUGAUUGGCUGCUACAAUGAUGAUCUCCGGUCACGUGAUCUACACUGGCUUUACAUAAGCUGUACAGCUCUCCUGUCACACACCAGCAGCUGCCUCUGCUCCAAGUUGCUGCUCUGAGUCCUCCUAAGAUGGCUGCUGCCCAACUGCCAACUGUCUCUGAAGACGGCUGCAACUGCCACUGCCAAAGCGCUCUCUCUCUCUCUCUCUGGGAUCAAUAUGGCUGUUGUUUAUUGGUCAGUGUCCCCUGCCAGACACAGCACUCAAGGCACACCUGCUCAUUAAAACAAGUGGUAGGCAUCCAAACCAUUGGGAGCUCUGACAACGAUGCUGUAAUCUGAUCUGUCAAUGAGCUAUCUACAUCACUGUACCUUGCCACCUGAAUCCACCAUACAUCACUGGCGAUAUUUCCUGGGAUUUACACUUGAGCAUUUUCUGGCCGAUUCUACCCCUCAGCAUCCAAAGGAGAUACUUCCAAGCUGUCAACAAGCGGACUGCAAUCUACAUCUUGGCCUACCGUGCUUUCAAUAGUAUUGUAUACUGUAUCCAUUGCUGCUGAGAGGAGAGGGAAGCAGCCGGUACUAUUUACCCGGGCUCAAGCAUGAUGGAGGGGCCCAGCAAGCGCCCAAGUCCCCCAAACCUGGCAGCAGCAGCGCUUCUCCUCAGCCCAGCAUACGUUGCUAUGUGCCGGACUGUACUGUGACCAGGGAGUACUGCAGAUCCGACGCAGCCGAACCAAGUCAAGCAAUGGGAAAAAGCAUCAUCACUGACAACACAAGAAUCACAAUAGGUUAAUUUAUGUGGAAGGUGGAGACCCCCUUGGUAAGAAGGAUGGCUUCAUGUGAAGUUCAGCUCUAUCAUCAUGGAUUAUGACAUAUGGGGAGUGACAGGACAAGGCCCCAAGCUCUGACAGUCUUUAAGUUGAAGCCAGAGCUAAAAGUCCACCUCCUCUAGGGGCUCAAACACAGUCGAUUGGAGGAAGUUCAACACUAAGUUGAGAUCCCAAGGAGCAGUAGUAGAUACAAAAAGUGGCUGGACUCGAAGGUCACCCUGUAGGAAAGUUGAAGAUCAAGAAUCAGGACCAACUGUCACUGAAAAAAUAUGGACAAGACUGACACUUGUACCUUCAGUGAUCCCAGACGAAAGCCAGCAUCCAGAACCACCUGCAGGUAAAGAGGGUGGGAAAGUUGGAAGGAAAAAGUAGAGAACCCAACCAAGCCACUUAACACUUCUAAAUGCAAUGAUAGUGUUUUGCUGUCAAUGGCUUCUGGGCUCGAAGCAUGGUGGGUACAACCACUUGCAGAAUACCCUUGCACCUGAGAAUCAUAGCUAUAACAGUCAUGAAACUAAAUGCACAUGUGGUAAGUCGGGGUACACAAAAGGACCCUGCUCAAGAAAAUCCAGCCUGAGCAGCAGUGCCCACGGAUCAUCUAUGAGAAGCAGCAGGAGGUCCAAGUACCACCCUUGGUGAGGCCAAUCCAGAGCCACCAAGAUGACUGAGGUGGACUCUCGCUUGAUGCGUUUGAGCACCCAUGGCAGAAGAGGAAAGGGUGGAAAAGGGUAUAGAAGAUACCCCCACGGAAUGGCCACCAACUCCACCACUGGUUCCCACAUCCUGGAACAAUACCACAGCAUCUGGUGGUUCUGCUGAGAGGCCAUGAGGCCUGCCUCACUGCUGGGCCAGCUGCUGGAACACCUCAGCAUAAAGGACCCAUUCCCCGGGGUGGAGAUCUUAGUGACUGAGAUAGUCCGCCUCCCAGUUUGUCAACUCCGGGUAUGAACAUAGCAGAGGUGGACACAGCGUGUCAUUCCACCCACUGCAGGAAGCUUCUGGACUCCCACAUGGCCAAGCGACUGCAUGUUCUCCCUUGCCAAUUUAUGUACACCAGGGCCUUGGCAUAGUCUGACAGCACUGAGAAUGGCAGCUCUCUGCUGGGCUGGGGGACCCGUGGCUUUGUCAAAUACUCCCCCCUCCCGCUAAUCAAGAGGUAGUUGGGGCAUACUCACUGUUGUCCGCCUACCAGUGUGCGGAGUCUAAUGACCUUGUGGUCAGGGACACAGACACUGGCCUCAGUAAGCCAUGGUGGGUUCCUCCACCCGCUCCCUUGGCGCAGACAGACUUCAGCAAUUUGUAGUCUGCCUAUGUAGUUUUCAGAUGAAGCUUCAGUAUUUAUAUAAAAUAAAAAUAUAUGAAAAAAGGCUAGAUACAGCCCAAAAGACACCCGGCUCCCUCAGGCAUAAAUCUAAACUGAGACCAGUGAUGUACAGCUUAUAGGGAGAGGAGCCUACUUCAAUUCUAAAGAAAUGUAAAAUGCCAGGCUCCACUCUUCACUCAGAACAAUUUAGGAUUUAAAAUUGCAUAUUUAAUAUAGCACACAAACCUCCUUUGAUAAAGCUGCAAUUCCUAGCAGCGAAAUGCAGUAGGUGUACUCCUACCACACCCCUGGAUUGGAAAUAAUUACAUUGGAGCAUCCAGACCAGCCACUCUUAAUAACCAGGCAUAUAUCGCUCCAGGAAUGGACCCAAAGUGUAAAAAGGAUUACUAUUAAAUAGCAACAUGUUAUUUGAGGACUCCAGCUCAUACCAAGGGACUUGUCUUCCAGGAGACAUACUGUAUCCUCUAUUGGUGGACAUUGGUAAACAUACCUCUCACUGGAUUUAUUGGCACUACACAGAGGAUCCAAUCCCCAUGAAUUUUUAAGCCUUCUUUAAUUAGUGGCAAUAUAGGAAUGGACAUUGCAAUGAAAAUGCUCUGAUAUAACAACAUUAUUAUUAUAUAUCCAGGAUGCUUGUGGUAAUUGAUACGUAAUUUUAACCUUUUUGUUUAAAGUAUGUUUAUAA